Long non-coding RNA from Monopterus albus (swamp eel), 160 nucleotides. RefSeq lists it as uncharacterized. The record is from RefSeq and is a predicted model, not a curated record. Lineage: Eukaryota; Metazoa; Chordata; Actinopteri; Synbranchiformes; Synbranchidae. The transcript has 3 exons.
GUGAGACUAUUGCUCCUGGGCACAUCAUCAGGUAGGGACACUCUGAAUCUAACUAUCAUGCCUUUGAGGUCACCCAGCUCUCUGCCCUCCAUCACAACCAACUACAGAAAACAGAAAACACUUCCUUUACAUUCGUUGACAUGGGUAUUAGGAUAUGUAA